CACAAGCAGUGGAGUAUGUGGUUUAAUUCGACGCAACGCGAAGAACCUUACCAAGUCUUGACAUCCUUUGACGAUGCUGGAAACAGUAUUUUCCUUCGGGACACAGAGACAGGUGGUGCAUGGUUGUCGUCAGCUCGUGUCGUGAGAUGUUGGGUUAAGUCCCGCAACGAGCGCAACCCUUAUGGUCAGUUACUACGCAAGAG
Molecule: ribosomal RNA, 203 nt
Filed under: uncultured bacterium
Lineage: Bacteria
Description: partial 16S ribosomal RNA
Rfam family: Bacterial small subunit ribosomal RNA
Source: RNAcentral